This 492-nucleotide ribosomal RNA is filed under the name uncultured bacterium. RNAcentral describes it as "partial 16S ribosomal RNA". It matches the Rfam family "Bacterial small subunit ribosomal RNA", at positions 29 to 507 of the family's 1533-position model. The record is from RNAcentral.
AGUGAACGCUGGCGGUAGGCCUAACACAUGCAAGUCGAACGGCAGCACAGUAAGAGCUUGCUCUUACGGGUGGCGAGUGGCGGACGGGUGAGGAAUACAUCGGAAUCUACUUUUUCGUGGGGGAUAACGUAGUGAAACUUACGCUAAUACCGCAUACGACCUACGGGUGAAAGCAGGGGAUCUUCGGACCUUGCGCGAUUGAAUGAGCCGAUGUCGGAUUAGCUAGUUGGCGGGGUAAAGGCCCACCAAGGCGACGAUCCGUAGCUGGUCUGAGAGGAUGAUCAGCCACACUGGAACUGAGACACGGCCCAGACUCCUACGGGAGGCAGCAGUGGGGAAUAUUUGACAAUGGGCGCAAGCCUGAUCCAGCCAUACCGCGUGGGUGAAGAAGGCCUUCGGGUUGUAAAGCCCUUUUGUUGGGAAAGAAAAGCAGCAGGUUAAUACCCCGCUGUUCUGACGGUACCCAAAGAAUAAGCACCGGCUAACUUCGUG